Molecule: ribosomal RNA, 436 nt
Filed under: Oecobius cellariorum
Lineage: Eukaryota; Metazoa; Arthropoda; Arachnida; Araneae; Oecobiidae
Description: partial 16S ribosomal RNA
Rfam family: Bacterial large subunit ribosomal RNA
Source: RNAcentral
CUCUUACAGAAAUUAUUGUAAGUAAAGUCUGCUCAAUGAUUCUUCAAUAGCCGCAUCAUAUGUGCUAAGGUAGCAUAAUCACUUGCCUUAUAAUUUAAGGAUAGAAUGAACGACACCACACUUAUAUAAUUUUCUUAACAAUUUAUUUUUAACCUUCUAUUUUAGUAAAAAUUCUAAAAUCUUAAAGAAAGACGACAAGACCCUAUUGAACUUUACUUUAGUUUAACUGGGGUAGUUUAUUAAUUAAUAUUUUAAUUUUACCUUUAUAAAUUGACCUAAUCUAAUUAAACUAAUAAUCAAGUUACCAUAGGGAUAACAGCGUAAUAUUUUUACAAAGUUCUUAUUUAAAAAAAUUUUUGCGACCUCGAUGUUGAAUAAUUUUCUAUUAAGUGCAAUAACUUAAUAAGAUGGUCUGUUCGACCAUUAAACAAUUACA